This is a long non-coding RNA of Homo sapiens (human), 2288 nucleotides long. RefSeq lists it as uncharacterized. The transcript is spliced from 2 exons. NCBI's taxonomy places the organism in Eukaryota, Metazoa, Chordata, Mammalia, Primates, Hominidae. The record is from RefSeq and is a predicted model, not a curated record.
GAGUCACACCAUUGUAUAGUCCCCUCCCUUGCAGUAUGGGCUUCUAACCAAUAGAUUAUUGCAAAGGCGGUGGAAUGUCAUUCUUCUAUUUUCACAGACAGAAGUGAAACAUUCUCAGUAAAUACUGACCCUGAAGUAAGUUGACACAUUGUGAUGCUGUAAGUCUACGGCAAAACCUAUGUGGCAAAGGACUCUCAAGAGUUGGAAGUGUCCCCAAACCAAUGACCAGUAAGAAAACAUAAAUCUAAAUCCUAUAACCACAUGAAGAGGAAUUCUGCUAACAACCUACGGAAUCCUUCCAGCUCCCCAUGCUCACUUCCCUGAGCUUGAAUUAAGUGCUUUUUCCAUGUAUGCCCCCCAGACCCUAGUAAGUAAACUUUGCCGUUACUUUUACCAUAGUCUGUAGUAAUUACAAUAAAAUUGAGAAGUUCCUGUGUCUGCUAAAAAGUUAGCAGAGGUUUGCAGACAUCUAUUUGGGUUAAUUACUUGUAUUGAGGGACAGAGACCUGUGAGAAGAAAUGUUUUAUCAGAGCCAAAAAAUAAGAGAGGGAAAUGGAGAAGAGAAUGUGCAUCUCUUCUCCAGCUUUAACCCCAAAGGCUGGAUUGGACAGAACUUUGUGAGACCUGGGGCAUAAGUAGCGAGGCUUGGUAGUUCAGGUGACAAAGCAAAACUUAGAGGUAAGGCUCAGGGCAUUUUCACAUUCUGCUGAAAACAGCAUGUUACACCAACCCAAUGGCAACGUGGUGCCCCGAGGAAUUUGCAAGGUUUGGAAUACAGGACAUUGAAGAGUGGGAGGGGCAACAUACAUGCAGAGGUACCACUAGCAGUCAGAAGUGCCUUUGUGGGAGCCCAAAAAAGAAAAUUGAAGGAUUCUAUGAACACGUAUGAGGUAUCCUUGGGAAUUCCUGAGUAACUCAGGAAACUUAGAAGGAAAACUGAUGUUCAUAACUUAAGAAGGUCUGAGGCAACAAAUUCAGACAUUAAGGUUAAUAUAAAUUUAUCUACAUCUAACAGAUGGUGAGGCCUAGAGAGUUUUGUAGGAUUAUUUCUAUAUCCCUACUUCCUUAAUUAGAUUGUGAUUUCCUGAGAGGAGAGACUGUGCCUGGUUCACUGUGGGAUUGCUAGAAUUUGGCAUAGUGUCUGAAACAUAUAGUAUAUAUUCAUUUAAUAAUUACUGCCUAAAUGAGUCAUAGGUGGUAUUAGAACUGAAAAUUCAGGACUCUUUACCUGAAUUAGUAUUGAAUUGACUCCUGAUUUCCUUUAUAAAAUAUUUGUAACUGGGCCUUUGAAGAAAUGUAGAAUUUGUGCUUCUUAAAUAUGUGUGUUUUUCUCUCUUACCUCUGUGCUUUCAUAAACAUUAUUUUAGCUGGAUAUACACUCUUUUGCAUCUUCUUAGCCUAGCUGAUUUUUCACUUAUUCUAGAGGUUCACAGGCAUCUAUUUGCAUGAAUUAUUUGUAUUGGGAGAAAAGACCUGUUUCGCAUGGGUAACUCAGUUUCACAUGUGUGAAUAAAAACAAAGUGGCAAGCAGAUUAAAGAUAGUAAGUGAACUUUCAAACAUUCUCCUCAGUCUGUUUCUAACCACAUCCAGUAAAAUACAGUGUUAUCUGGUAAGAACAGAUGGGUUUUCAAACAAAUAUAAUCAAUUUCUACUAUAAUUUGGUUAAUGCUGAAUGACGAAGUUUUGAAAUUGUGUAUAAAGGGUUUUCUCUGUAAUUCCCCCAAACAGUACUAUUUGGGAGUGAGUAUCUAGUCAGUGAAUAUUAACUCCUUACAUUUCAAGUACAGCACAUGUGAACAUUUCUACACAUACCAUAUGCUGCAUUGGAUGGUACAUAAAUAACAAGGUACAUUCAGAGCAUCAUGCAGAUAUAAAGGCUGGGGUGUCUGAGGUAGCAUUUUCAUUCACAAGACUGAAUCUGUGUGUUGUGGUCAGAAAUCAAAGCUAAUGUCAAAAUCUUCUUACAAAAACAAGAUUUUUCAUAGUGAUGAGAGAAUUUACAGCAACCAAACUGAUUUAUUGAUGAAUUUACUAUGCUCAUGUGUCAUUAAAUAGUAUGUGUAGACUGAAAUACAAGAGACCUACACUGUUGCACAGGCUUUCAUGAGCGUAUGUGCUUCUGCUGCAGAGCUGCCUAUGGGCUACUGGGGCUCCUGGAUGGUCUAGCCAUGUGUCUUCCCUAGGAGUAUAUUUAAAGAUUUAUGCAAAAAUCUUUGUGGCACCAAUAACAAGUUGGAUUCUUGCACUCCCACUGUCAAAAAAAAAAAAAAAAAAAAAAGCAGUAAGC